This 492-nucleotide ribosomal RNA is filed under the name uncultured bacterium. Its description in RNAcentral is "partial 16S ribosomal RNA". It matches the Rfam family "Bacterial small subunit ribosomal RNA", at positions 29 to 507 of the family's 1533-position model. The record is from RNAcentral.
AGUGAACGCUGGCGGUAGGCCUAACACAUGCAAGUCGAACGGCAGCACAGUAAGAGCUUGCUCUUACGGGUGGCGAGUGGCGGACGGGUGAGGAAUACAUCGGAAUCUACUUUUUUGUGGGGGAUAACGUAGGGAAACUUACGCUAAUACCGCAUACGACCUACGGGUGAAAGCAGGGGAUCUUCGGACCUUGCGCGAUUGAAUGAGCCGAUGUCGGAUUAGCUAGUUGGCGGGGUAAAGGCCCACCAAGGCGACGAUCCGUAGCUGGUCUGAGAGGAUGAUCAGCCACACUGGAACUGAGACACGGUCCAGACUCCUACGGGAGGCAGCAGUGGGGAAUAUUGGACAAUGGGCGCAAGCCUGAUCCAGCCAUACCGCGUGGGUGAAGAAGGCCUUCGGGUUGUAAAGCCCUUUUGUUGGGAAAGAAAAGCAGCAGGUUAAUACCCCGCUGUUCUGACGGUACCAAAAGAAUAAGCACCGGCUAACUUCGUG